GUGCUGUUGUAAUAGUAACUCAACUCAGUACGAGAGGAACCGUUGAUUCGAAUAUUUGGUCCUUGCCGUUGCCUGAACAGGCAAUGCGGCGAAGCUACCAUUCGUCGGAUUAUGACUGAACGCCUCUAAGUCAGAAUCCACGCUAGAAGCGGCGCUUGUCACUCUUCGACUGUAUCGUGACCCACAGUAGGGGUGCUUCGGCAUCCCCAGGGGCUCGUGUCACUUGCGAACUCUGGCCGGGAGAAAAACCGGUUGGGGCAGCUUUGAAGUUCAAUUCCAAAUGGUCGGCGAGAAGAAUCCUUUGCAGACGACUUAAAUACGCGACGGGGUAUUGUAAGUGGCAGAGUGGCCUUGCUGCCACGAUCCACUGAGAUUCAGCCCUUGGU
This 386-nucleotide ribosomal RNA is filed under the name Ochromonas sp. CCMP1393. RNAcentral describes it as "partial Eukaryotic large subunit ribosomal RNA". It matches the Rfam family "Eukaryotic large subunit ribosomal RNA", at positions 3006 to 3389 of the family's 3401-position model. The record is from RNAcentral. Lineage: Eukaryota; Chrysophyceae; Chromulinales; Chromulinaceae.